RNAcentral lists this ribosomal RNA (465 nucleotides) under uncultured bacterium. RNAcentral describes it as "partial 16S ribosomal RNA". It matches the Rfam family "Bacterial small subunit ribosomal RNA", at positions 338 to 795 of the family's 1533-position model. The record is from RNAcentral.
CCUACGGGUGACAGCAGUGGGGAAUAUUGCGCAAUGGGCGAAAGCCUGACGCAGCGACGCCGCGUGAGGGAUGAAGGUCUUCGGAUCGUAAACCUCUGUCAGCAGGGAAGAACGGUCACUGUGCUAAUCAGCAGUGAAUUGACGGUACCUGCAAAGGAAGCACCGGCUAACUCCGUGCCAGCAGCCGCGGUAAUACGGAGGGUGCGAGCGUUAAUCGGAAUUACUGGGCGUAAGGCGCUCGUAGGCGGUAUGUCAAGUCAAGGGUGAAAUCCCCGGGCUCAACGUGGGAACUGCCUUUGAAACUGGCAGACUGGAGUGUGUGAGAGGUUAGUGGAAUUCCAGGUGUAGGAGUGAAAUCCGUAGAUAUCUGGAGGAACAUCAGUGGCGAAGGCGACUAUCUGGCACAUAACUGACGCUGAGGAGCGAAAGCGUGGGUAGCAAACAGGAUUAGAUACCCCAGUAGUC